Molecule: non-coding RNA, 12276 nt
Organism: Manis javanica (Malayan pangolin)
Lineage: Eukaryota; Metazoa; Chordata; Mammalia; Pholidota; Manidae
Source: RefSeq, a predicted model, not a curated record
CUAUGUAAACCCUUUCCUCCCUGCCACCUGGAGAGUGGGUUUCAUAUUUACGGAUGAGGAAGCUGAAGCCCUGACAGGACGUGACACAGCUCCGAAAUGGGGAAGCCGAGAUCUGAGCCAGGGCUGCCGUGGCUGGGUCCCCAGGCCAGGCUGACUUCAGCACUGACACAACUAGGAAAAGAAGCAUUCCCGCCCGCAGACGAGCAGAGAAUGGCUUAUUUUACAAUGUGACCAGGGGAGAGUUAUCUUUCUCAGGUUUGCCGGGCCCCAUGGGAAAGGGGGAUUGCUUUAUGCCACCCUUCAGAGUGUCAGCAUGUACCAACACGGUCACCUCACUGGAAGGAGAUUAAAAUGAUACAGGUGGGUGGCAUCCCUGUUUAGGCUGCAGCCCAGCUGCCCAGGAGUCAGGAGGAAGGCCUUCUCCAUGGGCGCUGCAUGCCAGCCCCACGGUGCCAGUAGCCAGGCAGGUCGGGCAGCUGGGCCCAGCUCAGGCUCUGAGAUGAGUUUGCUGUGGGAGCUGCUCUCCUCCUGACCCCAUUCCCCCCAUCAGUUCAGCCAGGCCAAUGGGCAGGUAGUGACUAUUCACUGGAGUCCCUGGGGAGCUUUCAAGCUUUAAAAACAGGACUAACGCCCAGCUUCAGGCCCAGAGAUUCCGACCUAAUUUGUUUGAGGUGGGACCUGGUUAUUGGUGCUUUAUCACAAUGUUGGCUGAUGCCUCCAAAUAAUUAUAGAGUCUCUGAGAUGGAGGGGAGGGGUGCAGCAAGGGCUGUGUGUUCCAUACAGUAGCCACCAGCCACAGAGGCCGGUUUAAAUUUAAACUGAUAAAAAUCAAACAAAAGUGAAAAUUCAGUUCCCUAAAUGUUCACUGGGACCGCCAUGUGACUAGUGACAACUGAAUUGGCCAGCAAAGGGAUAGGACAUGUCUGUCACCACAGGGAAUUCUACUGGUCAGGGCUGAUCUGGACCCUAGAUUGUAGCCCACCUUGUCAUUUCUUAGACGGGAGGUGGGCCCCACAGGCGAGUGGCUUUCUCAUGGUCUCAUCGCCGAAUGAGGCCGGGUCCUGUGAUCCCGGCGUUCUGAGCUGCGUCCGGCACUUGCAGAGAAUUGAGGCAACAGUUUGGACUUUUGGACCUGAAGGUGUCCUGACUCACAUGUCUUCCUUCUUACUAUCUGCCUCUCCCACUAAAAUGUAAUGCUCAAUGUCUGGUCCCCUCUGCCAGCGCCUGGCACUCCUGGGUGCUCAAAUAAUUGUUGGCUGAAUGAAUGAAGAUCGGGAAGGGGGAAGGCAGAUGGAAUCAUGCAGCGAGCAAACAGAAGGCAGAGCAGCAGAAAUCUUUAAAAAGGCAGGUGGAGGAGGAGCAAGAUGAAAUGGCUGGAGCUGUACGAGGCAAACCAAGGCUGAGAGGGAGAAAGCAAGUCCUAGGAAGGAGGGUGACCACAGUGCCUAAUGCUGCUGAGACACCCAGAUAGGGACCCAAAGUGCAGGGGACACUGGGGGACAUCAGCAGCAUGCAGGCCGAGGCUAUUGGCUGUGUUUGGGUGGGACGUGUUUGCUCAGAGCCCCCGUCAGGGCCUGGCUGCACCCAGUCCUUCAGAACCUUCUAUGCCAGGAUAUGUCCCUAAGGACUGGCUGCCCCCGAUUCACAGAGGCCAGCACAGCAGACGCGGGGUUAUCGGAAGAUGUGUUCUCCCUGCGGCUUCCUUCGCUGCUGAACCAGGGUCUGAGACAGCUGAAGACUCAGCCUCCUUCUCGAGCCGGGGCCUCGCCAGUCCGCACCCUGGACUGGCCUUUGGGGGUUGCCUCUGAAGCCGCCAGGCCGCACAAGGGGGAAAAUGGAGCCCGCAGCCAGGAAACAUCAGCGCUCUGACGCAUCUUCACAGAAGGCUGCUGAUUUUAUCAGGAGGGGAUCAGAGCCAAGGCUGUUAUCUGAGGAGAGGCCUUGCUGGGCUGCUCAGAAGCGAGAAGCCCCCUCAGUGACCUCCACCUCCAGGCCCCAUAUCCUCGUCUUCAGGCCGAAGCUAAAUUUCAAAUGGAAGGUGUUUUUAGGAGAACAUCUAGUGGUUUUCAAAUAGUACUGUUUCAUUCUCUUUUCUUUUUCUCAAUUCCCAGUGGAACAUAUGACUAUUCAAGUUUUUUUUUAGUAUUCAGGAGGAUGAGGUAGGGGCAAUUAGAACAGUCAUUUAAAAUAUUCCACCCAAAUGCUGUGAAAGUGGUGUGCAAAUGAGAUCAAAUGAUCAGUGCUGGCGGGGCUCCCGCUGUGGGGAGCAAGCCGGUGCUCCUGGCUGCAAGUUGGAAUGUAGGAUAGGAUGAUGGCAGGAAGGUGCCCUCCCCACUUGCAGCACAGCUGAGAUGCUACAGAAUGCACUGACCCCCCUUAUAUUCCCAGCCUAGGUGGGCAGGGAGUCGGGAUUGCUCUCGGAGAAGCAAGCCCUCUCGCCUUUAGGGAAAUGGCCCAAAGUGCUCUGGGCGGACCGGUGGUCAGAUUGCUGAUUCCUCCGGGGGCUGGACCUGUGGCUCUGAAGUUGAGGGGACUCAGAGGAGGUCUCUCAGCUAAUGAGGGUGAAACUAGGAUUUGAACCCUGUCAUCCUGACUCUGACUCACAUGAGGUUUUACUUCAACAUUCUUCAGGAAGCAUCUUUGGGGAAGCUUUCCUCUUCUUUGAGACCCCGUUUUCCUAUCUGUAAACCGGGUUUGUUGGGAGGAAUAGCUGAGGAGUUUGUACACAGGGAUGCCUGCCUCAAAGCUGGCAGGGGUACUCUGGUGUGGCAGGGGCAGUGGGUAAGAGCCUGGCACUGGAGUCAGACCAUCUGGGCAUAAAUCCAGCUCUGAGACUCCCUCUGUGCCUGCGGGCAAAUGCCUUAACCUCUCUGAACCACACCACUGCAGAAUCUGUAGAAUGGAAUGAUGAUGCUCCCCUGUCUCCACCUCUCUCCAACUCUUAGAGCUGAGGAAGAGAAUCCACUGCGCAGGAUUCUGCAGGUGCAGUGUGUGCAUAAUCCCCUGCGGCACUGUUUGCCAGAAUCUCCAGGGAGUGGAUUUGAAAAAGCGCCCUGAGAUUUCUUCUCCUAAAGGGACCACAGAUGACUUGAGCGGCCGCCAGCAAAGAGCCCACUCCUCUGUGUCUCCAGGGCCCUGACGGCAAUGGCUUCCUGUCCGCCAGCUUUGAAGGUGGACCCAGAGCCAGGACUCAGAUAGCAGGCGACUUGUGUGAACCUGACAGCCCAGGGUCUCAGCACUCCCCUUAUCCACCCAGGGCUGCCCUUCCCUUGUCUCUGCAACCUCCCUAGUUCAGCAAAGCAUUGAUUGCAUGAUGCCUUGGUUAAGAUAUUUCAUUUGGGGGUGUAAUUAUUUCAAAGGCAAUUAAGUAUUCAAUAUCUCUUAUUCUGUCUGCCAGUAGGAAUUAAUAGAAAGCCUUUCAAUCAGGAAUAACUGCAAAACAAUUUCUGGCCCCAAAGAUAAUCAAUAUUACCCAGUAGAGCAUUCUUCUAUCUUCAGGAAGCUAUUCAUUUCUGGCACUUUCAAAACCAGAGGGGAACGUUCUAUUCCCAUCUUUGUCAGAAGCCCCUGGCCACAUCCUUUAUGUAGUCUUCAAAAAGACAGAAAUCCACAUGGCUUUUCUGACCAUCCAUAUCCGCGUCACCUUCCGGGAUGCUGGGAAUAGUCCUAAGAACCCAGCCCAGAGGGACAGUGGGUGAUGACCACGUUCUCAGGAAUACUAUUCACUGCCUUGCCCUGAGCCUCCUGACAGAUUUUCUGGGACCUGCAGUGGGAAUAUGAGACCCUUAACUGUGCCACCCAGUGAUACAUCCUGGGUGUCCCCCAGAGCCCACGGACCUGGCACCCUCCCAGGAGCCCUUCUGGAGCAACGAGUGGCAUCUCCCCCUCUUUCUUUCAUGAAGGCCCAGUCCCAGGGCUGGGCUCUGCCUCAGCUUUCCUGCUGUCAUAAGGACUAAGGUCUUGCCUGCUUGGCAAGGUCCAUGACAUCCUAUGCAGCCCUUGCCAGGCCCUGCCCAGGGUGGAGGAGGCUGGAUGUGGGGCAGGGGGCACAAGGAACAAAGUCUUAUUGCUGCAUCCUGCUCUCUCUUCCCCCCUUCCCCCCUAUUUUUCUUUGUUCAUACCAUGUUCUAUUCUUAAGUCUGGAAGAACUAUGAAGAACUCCCCCAAAAAUGGCAAUCGAUGGAAUGGGAAGAUUUUCAUAUGCUAAUAGGGACCGCUGAUUUGAGACCUCCAUUUACUUACAAAAGGGUAAGGAGGACUAAGGCAAUAAGGUCAUGGGGGACAUGCAGAGAAUGUUCUAGAACUGACAUGUCUUUUGCAUUGGCUUCUUAGAUGUAAGGCUUCCACUUUCACUGGAAUCACUGUAAUUUCUGCACUUGUCUUUACCCUCCGAGAGGGUGAAUGUCCCAUACCUUGGGGUCAUCUAUAAUGCUGGCCUCAGAAGGCUGUCUUGGAGAUGCUGUGGGAGUUUUGAAUGCUGACAGAAAAAUUACCAUCCAAGUGCCUCUUGGAAGGGGUGAAGAGGGGCCUAUGUGUCUUAAAGGUUUGAAAUAGGAGCACAUGGUGAGGGGGUCUCUACAGCCAGCUGAACACGAGGCUGCUGGUGAACUCUGAGGAAGCCUUGGGAAGCCACUUCUGGUCUGUGAUAAUGUGGGCUCCAUAGGCCUGCGGUUUCACUGGGCCAACAUAGAAAGCUCUUGAAAAACAACCUAUUUAAAUAGAACCCAAAGGUAUAAUAGUUACUUUAUAGAAGAGGAUAAAAUGUUAGGAAGCUAAAACUCACAGUAACAAAACGUUCAUUUCUACUAAUAGACCAGCAAGCCCCCCUCCUCCAGCCCUGCGCCUCCCCACCACUCCAGCUCAAUCUCUGCACUCAGUUCCUCGAAAGCCACGCUCCUUCCCUCUACAUAACAGGGACCUGACCCUUACAGAAAGGAGUACCCCCCCACAUUAUAGGUUCAGAGGUCAGGUGACUGCUUCACAGUCACCUGGUCAGGAAAUGGCAGAGCUCCAAUAUUAACUCAGGUGUGUGUGAGCCCACGUGCCUUCCCCAGCAGAGAUGCUCAGGAGGUUUUGGGUUCACCCUGCACAUAUGUCCCGUGAGUGCCCUGCGCAUUGGAGGUCCAUUUGCCGAAGGGUCAAUGAGCACCCAGAAUACAGCAGGCGUGUGGCUCUUCUGAGCUGCGCAUGAGACCUAGCCCCCUGAUUUUGUGAUUUGGUCUAUCCUCUGAAGUCCUCUCAUUACUGCUUCCUAGGGUUCUGGUCUGAGAUUUAACCCUUAGUUUAUUGGUAAAGGGAGGGAGGAGGGGAUGGCUGUGAUUGCCAGGUGUGUUGUCCCUUAACAAGCUCUCCAGUGACCGUGUUGACAAGUCAGGCAUGUCGCUGUCCUGUGGGUGGAGAGGGUGUGGAGCCUCGGGUGGGUGCCCUGUUGCAUUGGUUGGCUGAUGUCCUUGUAGCCCACGGCGCAUUCUCAAUGGAUGGACAGGCAGACUGCUCCUCGUGUGGCUUCCCAUGCCUGGUGAAGCUUCUUUGCAAGGGCAGGGGGUGGCAUGGGCAGUGGGCCCCAGCUCCUACCAGAUUCCAGUACUUCCUCCUCCUGACACCCCUUCCAAAGAGCCCUUUACAGCAGCGUCGUGCUUUUUGACCAGGCCAUGUCUACACGUCCACACACCCACCCAUCCACCCACCAGCACAGAUUCUGUCUGUUCCCCAUUAUCUCCCACAUAAGUCUCAGAACCCUGGGACAUUGAUUUAGGGUGACUUUGCUCAAAGGAACAGAAGGCCUCAACUCAGCCUGGCUGAAACCAUGACGACAUUUGUCAUCUCCCAGCCCCGAAGCACAGAGCAAGACAGGCCCUGGAUGGGUGUUAAGCCUCUGACUUCCGUUCCCCCGAUCCCAUCAGCUCAGCCCCAUCCUCUGUGCUGGCUUCCUUCUCAGGCUGGAGGGAGAUGGCCGCAGCAGCUCUGGGCAUCGCAGACACAGACAUGACACUGUCCCGAGGAGCAGAAGGGCCCUGCCUUCCUCUCUCUCUGAACCUCCCUCUGAAGCCACCAGGCCGUCAGGAAGAAGGAAUUCAACCCAACUGGCUGUCUCUCUGGGUUUUAAAUCAGGCCAUGCUGGUGAACACGAUAACCAACCACCGCCUUCAGCCGGUUUCCUGGGGACGGAGUGACCGGUCAGCUGAGCCAAGUCCUCCCGGGUCCUCCAGUCUCCUCGCUUAUCACCUUGGCCUCACUUUGCUUUUCGCCCAGAAAGCAAGACUGUCAAGACAAUGGCUCCCCUGUGCGGAGUGGGACACCAGAGAGGCCGCCUCCCCUCUCCACGCUUGCUCCCCGUGUCCACUGUGAGGGACUACAGGCCGAAGCCCACAGCGCCUCCUGACCUGCAAAGAUCACGUGGGCGCCGGCGCCUGGGGACCCGCGCGCGAGCCGCAGCUCAGGGCUUCGUGAGCUGGCUGAGCAGGGCGGCCGCCCCACCUCUCCGGGCCUCGGUGUUCUCACCUGGGAGAUGCAGCCAUAACUCCUGCCUCCGAAUCCAGCCGGCCGGUCGCCGGAGCAGUGUUCUGUGUACGGAGGGUUAUGCAAAUUUGGGGGUGGGGGCCCAAGGGGCUCCUCCAGGACCGCAGGCACCAGAGCCUUUGAUUCCAGGGUCAAGGUGGAAGUAACUGAAGAGGACUGUGUCCACCUCGUCCUUCUUUAGUUUACUUUUUUCUUCUUUUUUAAGAAGGGAGCUUAUCAUAAAAGUCUUCUGCAACUGAGCUGGGGUGAAAUGUCUAGAGUCUGCUGCCCUGAGAGGGAGGGAGGGAACAUGAUGGGAACUUUCUGGGCAUAAUUUGCCACUUGCCCACAGCAUCUAGUGGGCAACUCCACUCCUUCCCCUAAGGUGCAUAAAAGGAGGGUCAGAAAGCAAGCAUCAGUUAUGUAGUCAUUCAACAAACUUCACCGAGCACCUUCUGUAUCCUAGAACCCAUGCUAGGUGCUGGGAAGAUGAACGUGGAUGAGGGAGGGCUCCAGAGUGGUGAGGCUCAGGGCCUAUGGGCUUGGACCGCCGGCCCCACAGAAACUGGGCCACCAAACAAGCCAUGUAAGCUCUCUGAACCUCAGUUUCCUGGACUGCAAAAUGGGAACAUUUCCCUUGGGGAAAUCAUAGGACACUAUACAGCACAGGUUGGGGACCUGAGUUUCCCUGGGGCCUGGGUUGGGAGCUUCUGGAGAGGGUGACUCUAGGUGUGUUAGAGAGGGAAGGGAGUGCACCACGUUAUCAGUGUGGACAGGCCAGGCCCCUGCACUGUCACUGCAACCCUCAGAUCUCAGGGAUCUGACACAAGAUUUCUUCUUGUUCACGUGCAGGCCUUGUGCAAGAGCCUUAGCAUCCAGGUGUCCUCCUUGCAGUGACUGAGGUUGCUUUGGCUUGGGGGAUCGCCCAUCUCACCAGAGAGCACAUGGAGAGCUCCCACCUGCUCUUCUCUGCUUCCGUGGGAGGUGACACCAUCUUACUGCCAGUGCAAUGGCCAGAAUGCCUCAUGUGGCCCCACCUGACUGCAGGGAGGGCUGGGAAAUUCAAGGGACCACAUGGAUACUCAGUGAGCAAUAUUUAUAUCUCUCAUGCAGAGGAUGGAGGUGGGAGUGCCUCUCAGGCAGAGGGAGAAACAUAGUCAAAGGUCCAGGGACUAGAGGGAGAUGGGAGUUUGGGAACCUGUUUGCAGAUGAGGGUUCCUACAGUAAUGAGAAAGAGAAAGGUGCAGGCUGGGGGCCGGUGGUGGACAGGCUGUGUCAGUGGGCUGCUUUGAGCUCUGGCUACAGUUGAUUGGAGGACAUGGCUGGAGACAAAGAGGCCUGCUGGAGGCUGUUGCAGGGGUUCUGUGCAAGGGCAACAGAGAAGGGGACACGUCCUUUAGUUGUCAAAAUAGAUUAGCUGAAUCAAGAGAUCAGCUGAAAGUUGGGGAGUUGGGUCGAGUUCAGGACAAUCUCCAGCCUUCUCCCUUGGGUGACUGCCAUUCCCCGAGAUGGGGAUCAGGGAGGCUGGAGAAGCUCUGGGGGGACAAUGGGAUGCUCAGUGGUACAUCUAUCUGCCCAGGAGGCAGUGGGAUACACAAUUCCAGAACUUCAGAGAAAGGCUUGGGCCGAAGACUUGUCAGCCCAUGGAGCACAGCCAUCCUGCCCCUCCGCGGGAGCGGUGGGAGCUCUGCUUGUCGGGCUUGGCCACCCUCCUGCAGCCCCUGCUAGGCUCUGCUCGGAGGACACAGGGAAACCAGCCAGUCCUGAAAGAACAAAGGGGAGGCUGACAGAUUAAAAAGCACCAUGUGUUAUCUCAGCAACUGAAGUUGUGAUCAAUUUCCAGUCUGAACACAUCCAAUCCCGGGGCGGGCCAGGCUGAGAGGGGGUGAGGGACAAAAAUGGAGGCGCUAAUUAUGGUAAAUGGAAGCGCACUUUAAACUCAAGGCAGGGACACAUGGCAUCCAUAUCAUGCUUUGCAACUGUGGAGGUGAUUGCAACAUGAUUAAUCCCCUUCAUCUUUGGUCUUUGGGAUUUGGAAUCCACUGUGUUGUGAAGGGCUCCCUUCUGAAACUGGCUCUCUCAGCUCUUCCUCCGCAGACAGGAGCUCUUCACAUAAGCAUCAUAAAAAGCCUCCUGCAUUAUUGAAUAGUAGGCGUAGUUUUCGUGUGCCCUGAAGUCCUCUGCGGUUUUCUCUGUUGCACUCUGACAUUUCAAAGGUUCCUUUCAAGUGAGCACAGACCCUUGGUUCAGCCUCCAGGGAGGUGUCCCUGAGGCCCUGAACACAGGAGUUAUUGAAGAUGAAUCCGAGAUGGGAUCUUUACAAGUUAAUCAAUACCUGCCUUUUAAUCUAGCCAUUCUGCAGAUGGGUAAAGUGGAGGUGCAGAGGGGUUAAGUCAUGCGCCUGGUUCACUAAGAGCAAAACCAAAACCAAAUCAGGAUGCAAAUGGGAACUAGAGGUCCUGCUGCGGAUGAUGUAAAUCCUGGCUUCACCUUCCUCUGCAGAGGCGAACAGCCUGCUGGAAACAGAGGAAGAAGCCCCACCGGAAGACCCCUGCCCCAAAGUGGCACGCUUGGCAAAUCCAGCCACACUUGUCGGAGCCUCUCUGUCCCGUGAAAGGCCUGAGCACCUUUUAUUAAACAGAGGUCUAUUCAACAAUAAAUAUUUCUCACGCACAGCCAGGGGAGGUACCACAAUUGGCUCUUGCCCAGCCUGGCUGAGUCAGCAGGAAAUUAGCCAAGGUGCAGAGAAGCUUGUGUUUUGUGGUUUUGGUGGCAAUUUUUCAAAUAGGCUGGAAAGCACCAAGGACCAAAAAACCCACUUGAAUGCCACCACUCCUGUGAGUCCCGCUCUUGGGAAAAGUCGGUCAGGUUCCUGGGGUGCUGGGAACCUCCUGCAGGUGGAAGAAAGGGUGGCUGAACGUUCCGGGGCACCUGGAGAGGUGUUCACACUAAAGCUCUCUCACCUGUGAUUUCCUUCUCUAUACAAUGGGACGAAUCACGUUCAAUCCUCAGAGCUGCCGUGGGGGUGAGAUUUUCUGCUCAAUGAAGAUGGUUUUAUAGGGAGAGCAAUCGCCUUGGAUUAAACCCUCCCCAUUAAGUUAGGACUUCUGAUCUGAGUCCUCGGGCAGGACCCUUUUUCUGAGCCCACUGCCUCUAUAAAGUGGUGCAUUAAUACCUCCCACAUGGAUCUGUGAAAUGAGGGACUGGACAGAAUGAGAGUGUUUGUACAUUGCGACCCCCUAGCGUUUGCGCAGUAUUGCUCAUUUUGUCCUAUUACUCGGGUGCUUUUCCCAGGACAGGUCCUCACGGAGGGCGCCCAGCUGCCUGUGGGACCUUGUUUAUUUGCGUUAGGCUUUUAGCCGAGGCUGGGGAUAGCUCCUUCGGUGUUUCACAGAAAAGGGCUGGUUCUGUUGGCCCUUCACGUAAUUAAUAUUCCAAAUAAGAAUUAUGCAGUUGUUUCUAUGAAUAUUUGAUUCCUUUAACUCUUCAAAUAUCAGCUCAGCUCUGGGGCUGAAUGGAAGAUGAAGUAACUGUUUUCACCAUGACACUGCCGGGGAGGCAGCUGGAGGUCCUGAUCAGUCUGAGAAGUAAUGACUUGGUUGACAAGAUGCAAUGUUGGUAUUGCUGGUUCCCAAAGGGAGAGAGAAACUCUUUUUGAAGCAAGUAUGGAGGAAAUUGACUUCUGAGUCCACAGCCCCUGGGAGGCAGGAGGGAAGCCCUGUGUGGAGGCUGGUUUCAGGUAAGCUCCCAACUGGAAGGUUGGUGCCUGACAGGUGGGACUCACAGAGGCCCAGCCUUGCGGGGAGACCGAGGGCAGGGGUGGAGAGGGUGACUCUGGGCUCCCCAGUGGGCAUCUGUGGAAGGCAGACAAGAACCAGGACCAGGAGGAUUAGGUGUGCCCCUCACCUUGGUGCAAAGGCAAUGGUCCUCCCGGCUCUGGAAAGGGGGACACCAGGCCUUUUGGUGCAGGAGAUGGCCUUCUGACUUCUUGGCCUCUCAGGUCCUGGACUCUUCCCUCCACAACUCUUCUCCCGUGGGGCCAACCAGAGGCCAGGUACAUCACAACUCCUGAGAUACAGACUGGCUUGGGCCAGGCAAUAAAGGAGUAAACAGGAAAUGACAAAUUGCUCUGCAGAUUGUCACCUGAAAGAGCUCAUGGUCCUGUCGGCAUGUGCGGCCGGGGCAUGAAUAUGCAAACCCAGAGCAAGAUGGCUGGGCGCCACCCAGGCUCCUGCAGGAGACCCCCGACUGAGGGCUGCAGCCCUUUCAGAGCUAACCUGCUGGGUGUGGGGCUCUCAGGUGACCUCUGGCCCAUUUCUGGGUUGGGUGUACCCCAAACAGAGCACUGAUUCAAGGGCCCAUGGGCCCACUCCAUCUCCUGCCCAACCGUUUGCAAAGCUGUGUGCCUUUGGUCAACAACAUGAGCCUCAGUUUUCUCACCUGUAAAAUGGAGCUAUAUCCUCUUAGCCUUACCCAGAACCUCACAGGAACAGCUUAGCUGGAGUGCCUGGAAGCCAUCUGUACAGAGCCACAGAAAGGGAAACCCCUGGACAUCUCUCCUGCAGUCUGACUGGAUUGGCUCCCACUAGGUUGUCCUUUUAUUUUUCUGACUAGUUGCCAAUCAAAGAUUGUUUCAAAAACUAGACUAUUUCACAAUAAAACUCUUAUUUCUGGCUCCUGUGCCUAAGGACCUGGAGCUGCUAGCAGGCACUGAGACCUGGCUGCCUGCUGGGAUGGGCGUGUGUGCUCCACAGUGCCUCAGACCCCACCAUUCCCCAUUAGCCACCUCUGGUCCCCUCAAUAGUGUCUUGGCCUGAGGUAAUGUGCAAGGCCCCCAGCACAGUGCCUGGCAUAAGGUCAGGGUAGGAUAACAUCUCCUCCCGUCUCUGUGUGGAGGUGAGGUGGGGAGAGCACCCUGUGCUCCUGGAGAGGGGCUCCUGCUCUCCCUCAUCUGCCCUCCCCUCCUCUGACCUGUCUCCUUGCUCUGCCCAUGUCCUUGGGAGGCUGGGGUAGAUUGGAGACCAGGCCUCUGAGAGGUGCCAGGAGGUCAGCCCCCUCCUGAUGUAGCCCAUGGGUUUAGGCCCCCAUUUGUGCCUUGGCUGAGUACCUCCCACUUCAACCUCCUCAAAUGCUCAGGAUGCCUGAGGCUUGGGAGGUGACAGAGCCACCUGUCCUCUCCUCAUAGACCUGGGGAGGGAAGGUGGAGGGACAGGAGGAGAAAGGCUUUCACCAGACUUUCAAUCAGGGUGUGGAGGGCCUCCAAAGCUCUUCCCUGGGGCCAGCCUGGGGCCAAGGGUGGGGUGUGGGCAGUUCCUUGGGGUCUUGAGAGGUAAGGAGAGUGGGAUUCAGAGAAGAGGGUCAGGUGCCAGGUAAGGGGAGGGGUGUGGAAGGCAGAUUUGGAGGCCAAGCUUUCCUUGCCUAAGGGGGCUCUCCAUGGCUGUGCUGGGCAGCUUCUCUCCAUCCUCCGGCCCCUGACCCAUCUGCACCCCCUCUGUCCCCAGACACUCAUGCACCAAAACCAUAGUCACAGAUUGGGACACUGCAGGGUCAGAGAGGCCUCAGAGCUCCGCCAGACCACGGGGGUUUUUUGGGAUGCUUGGACCAAGAGCUAAAUACAAUGGGGCUGCUGAGAAGGUUAUCAAGAAAGACAAAGAAAACUGAUAAAUCUUAAAAACUUAUCCCGGUGAGAAAGCCCACUGGGUCCUAGUCCUUAAAAUCUGAUACUCGUUAAUCUCCCUGAUAACAAGGACAAAAUACCCACCAGUACCUGGCUGCAAU